UCCAUCUCCUCCAUCUCAUCUGACUCCAGCUCUAGCUCUAGCUCCAGCUCUUUCUGAGAAGAUGACUGAGUGAUGAUGCAAAAAAGGAGUAUAUAUUUGAAAAG
This 104-nucleotide non-coding RNA is filed under the name Symbiodinium sp. clade D. The record is from RNAcentral. Lineage: Eukaryota; Dinophyceae; Suessiales; Symbiodiniaceae.